RNAcentral lists this ribosomal RNA (529 nucleotides) under uncultured bacterium. RNAcentral describes it as "bacterial SSU rRNA". It matches the Rfam family "Bacterial small subunit ribosomal RNA", at positions 777 to 1304 of the family's 1533-position model. The record is from RNAcentral.
AAUAGAUACCCGGGUAGUCCACGCCGUAAACGAUGAGUGCUAAGUGUUAGAGGGUUUCCGCCCUUUAGUGCUGCAGCAAACGCAUUAAGCACUCCGCCUGGGGAGUACGGUCGCAAGACUGAAACUCAAAGGAAUUGACGGGGGCCCGCACAAGCGGUGGAGCAUGUGGUUUAAUUCGAAGCAACGCGAAGAACCUUACCAGGUCUUGACAUCCUUAUGCCAUCUCUAGAGAUAGAGCUUUCCCUUCGGGGACAUAAGUGACAGGUGGUGCAUGGUUGUCGUCAGCUCGUGUCGUGAGAUGUUGGGUUAAGUCCCGCAACGAGCGCAACCCUUGAUCUUAGUUGCCAGCAUUCAGUUGGGCACUCUAAGGUGACUGCCGGUGACAAACCGGAGGAAGGUGGGGAUGACGUCAAAUCAUCAUGCCCCUUAUGACCUGGGCUACACACGUGCUACAAUGGAUGGUACAAAGGGCAGCGAAACCGCGAGGUUAAGCCAAUCCCAUAAAACCAUUCUCAGUUCGGAUUGCAGG